AUGAACGCUAGCGACAGGCUUAACACAUGCAAGUCGAGGGGUAACAGGGUAGCAAUACCGCUGACGACCGGCGCACGGGUGAGUAACGCGUAUGCAACCUGCCUAUAACUGUGGAAUAGCUCCCUGAAAGGGGAAUUAACACCGCAUAACACUAUUGAUUCGCAUGGAUUGGUAGUUAAAUGUAGCGAUACAGGUUAUAGAUGGGCAUGCGUGACAUUAGCUAGUUGGUGAGGUAACGGCUCACCAAGGCUACGAUGUCUAGGGGUUCUGAGAGGAAGGUCCCCCACACUGGUACUGAGACACGGACCAGACUCCUACGGGAGGCAGCAGUGAGGAAUAUUGGUCAAUGGGCGCAAGCCUGAACCAGCCAUGUCGCGUGCAGGAAGACUCGCCCUAUGGGUUGUAAACUGUCUUUUAUAGUAGAAGAAACACAUCUACGUGUAGAUGUCUGCCAGUAUACUAUGAAUAAGCAUCGGCUAACUCCGUGCCAGCCGCAGC
RNAcentral lists this ribosomal RNA (498 nucleotides) under uncultured bacterium. RNAcentral's name for it is "bacterial SSU rRNA". It matches the Rfam family "Bacterial small subunit ribosomal RNA", at positions 29 to 518 of the family's 1533-position model. The record is from RNAcentral.